CUACGGGAGGCUGCAGUGAGGAAUAUUGCACAAUGGGGGGAACCCUGAUGCAGCAACGCCGCGUGGAGGAUGACGCAUUUCGGUGUGUAAACUCCUUUUAUAUGUCAAGAAAAUGACGGUAGCAUAUGAAUAAGCACCGGCUAACUCCGUGCCAGCAGCCGCGGUAAGACGGAGGGUGCAAGCGUUACUCGGAAUCACUGGGCGUAAAGGACGCGUAGGCGGGUUGGAAAGUCAGGUGUGAAAUCCUACAGCUUAACUGUAGAACUGCACUUGAAACUUCUAAUCUAGAGUAUGGGAGGGGGAGAUGGGAUUAGUGGUGUAGGGGUAAAAUCCGUAGAUAUCACUAGGAAUACCUAAAGCGAAGGCGAUCUCCUGGAACAUUACUGACGCUAAGGCGUGAAAGCGUGGGGAGCAAACAGGAUUAGAUACCCGAGUAGUC
This 439-nucleotide ribosomal RNA is filed under the name uncultured bacterium. Its description in RNAcentral is "partial 16S ribosomal RNA". It matches the Rfam family "Bacterial small subunit ribosomal RNA", at positions 339 to 795 of the family's 1533-position model. The record is from RNAcentral.